UUAUGAGAACUGUAAAUAUCUGCAGACAUUUUCUCUUUCCUAUUCUAAAACUUACUAAAAUUUUAGAUACAGGAAUUCUCUGUUGAAAAAAAUAUAUAUAUGUAUAGAUAGAUACACACGUAUAUAUAUACGAAAUGUGAGAAAAAAUAUAUAUAUAUAUUCCUUUGAUGGUCUUUAAUAUUUAGUUUAAAAACUUUAAGGAAAUCAUAAAACUUUUAAAUUUCAACUCUCUCUAAGAUUAUAUGGGCAGUUAAGUUUAAAUAUAGAGCAUAUAUUUCUUCAGUUAAAAGGAAGUGUGUAUUUACUGCUGUUCAAUUAGAAAAAGCAAUUAACACCUGCCUAAUCAUAAGCUACACUGUUUUUUAUGUUUAGAUUUUCAAAAUAGAGCUUGCCCAUAAGGACAUCUACCUACUGGGGAACAUAGAAUUAUUUUGAAAAGUUUGUUAAGAAUUGGCUGAUUACUUGACCUAAGGAUUUAAUUCAGCAUGAAUACACAAAAGAAAGAAAAUGUAUAUUUGCUUGUGUUCAAGUCUGAAAUUAAGCUUUGGUCUACGGUUAAAUUAAUACAGCCCUGAGAACACCUUGUCUUAACUUCCUAAAAAUUAAUUUUGAGAAAUAGAUUUAAUAGUACCAAGGUACAUUGUUGUUAUAAUGAAGAAGGCGAGAAUAGUUUUUAUUACCUUAAUUGACGCGCUUUUAUAAAACGUCAUUUGCAUCUGGAUUCUAAAGGGAACGUGAAUUAUUUUUGCACGAUUAUGAUUUGGAGUAAUAUUGAAAUAUUAAAAAAAUUCAUCCUUUUAUUCUUAAUUGAAUUCCAAUGCAGUAACUUCAAAACAAUGGAAAUAGCAUGAGGCCAGAAAGGGGAAAGGGAGUAGUUGACACUUUGCAUACCACCAGUAACAUGGAAUAGGAGGGAUGCUACAAUUAUAGGAUGCUACUAAAUAUGAAAAUUUAUUCAUUAAUUCAGCAUUUGUACACUGAGCAUCUACUAUGUGUCAGCUAUCAAGUAUGUAAUGAUGAGCGAAGAAAAAAAAACAAAAAACAAUAAUCAACCCAAAAAGUAAUACUGUCAUGUAGAUUAUAGCAUUAAGAUUAUCCAAAACUUAAACAUUCUACAAAUAGAUGUGAAAUUAAUUACAAGUGUUAAAGUGUUAUUACUGCUACAAAAGAAAGGUAAUGUUUUGCAAGAUCAUAGAAUAGUCAACUUAACCUUGUAGAAAGAUCAAGGAAGUCUUCCCAAGGAAUUAAAUGAUACUUUCAUUAUCUUUGCUUUACCUGUGAAGAGCUGAAGUACAGUUAAAUAACUUGCUAAAGUUUUCACAACUGCUAAGUGAUAAAGACAGGACUGGGAUCCAUGCACUGGUGCCAGAGCCUACAAUAUUAACCCCUCUAAUAUACUGUCCGCCACUGAAUUCCUUACUAUAAUGUCAAGAGUUUAUUAGGCAAGCUUCAUCAGGUUGACUAAGCAAUGGUCAUCAAGGGAACAGUAAAGAGAGGUUAGGAGAGAGGAAUAAUUAGAAUUAUAAUAACUCAAAUAUGCAGCAACCUCACGAAUUAGGAAAGGAAAAGAAAAAGAAAAAUAAAUAAAUGUAUAACUAGCCUUGAAUCUAGUUUAUGGAAAUAAGUAGUUUUCAUCUAACAGUCUGCAUAGGAAACUACAUAAGCUCAAUUCACAGAAUGAAGAUAAAUGAUUAUUAAAAAUAAUCCUCAUCUAUGACAGAAUACUUUGUGCCCACUCCCAAUCAUAUCAUUUAAAGCUAAAUUACCAAAAGCAUGUCAUUUGUCUUUGAAUUUCAGGUUUAUUAACUGUAUAAUGGCAAUUGAAUUACCUUUCCUGGAAUUAAAGGUAAACAGUCUUUUCCCCACAUUAUUCUGAAAUUGAUUUUGCUUUGAAGAUAACAUGUACACUUACAUUGUGUUUCUGUUUCAUGAAAAUCUAUUGUUAAUGCUAAAUAUUUUAAAAUAAUGUUUUCAUUCAUUAAUUCAAUGAAUACUUAGAAAAUUCUAUUGAAGAUACUGGACAAAAUUAAGAGAGGCAUAAUUUUGGAGCUUACAUUCUAUAGGAGGAGAAAGAAAAUUAACAAGUAGACCAAGCCAUGUAUAAAUACAAUUUAUGUUUAUAAUUGAAUAUGGAACAUGCAGAAGCCAUUCUCAAAUGGAUAACUCUAGUCUGGGUGGAAAUCAAACAUUUCUUGCCCAAUGUACCAAUGAGACUGUACCAUAAUAAUGUGUAAAUAUUCCUAAUAUAAAUAAUAGUAUAAGUAAUAUUUGCUUCAGUGCUUCAAUUUCUUAAUCAAAUACACUAAAGAAUAAUUGUGGAUCUUUAAUUUCUACAUUUUACAUUUACUUUGCUGAAUAAUUAUUAUAUUUAUAAUAUUACCAAUAUUUAAUAACCUACUCUACUGUAGUAGGGCUUCUACGGUAGGAAAGCUAAGAUUGUAAAUCCUAUUAUAAAGUUUUGUUUUUCCCUUAAGCAAAACAACUCCUAUUUUUUUUGUGUAAACUCAUUUUUCUACAAUAAUUGGAUGUUUUAAAGAGACAUAGUUAUUCUUCUGGUAUUUUCUAUUUUAUUUUUUCACUGCAAAUUCAUCACCUCAUUCUGUUGACUGGAUCAAAUUUAUUAUUAAUGUAUCACCUGGGCUGUCAGUAAUUUUUAACAUGUCAAUAUUUUCCAGUAUUUCUAGUAAGUAUGCUUUACCAGAAACAUACAUAUUUUAUAGUUUUUCUUUGCUUCUUAAAUUUUCCUUUAUUUAUUUUCAGAAGUCUUUGUCUUUCUUUUCACUGAGAAAGUCAACCAUGGUUUAUGGGUCAGCUUAAUUUUUUACUUAAAGGAGGUCUUUCCUAAUUACCUAAUUUAAAUUGAUAUCCACUCAGAUUGUUCUGUUUUAUUGUAUCCUAAUGUUUUCCUUCAUCUGUCACAUUUCAAAAGUAUUGCUUAUGUAAGUCCUCAAAAGUAUUGCUUAUGUAAGUGUUUUAGCAUACACUUUUCCUACCACUUGGAGUCUCAUGGUCCCAGUGACUACGUGGGUUUUGUUCACUGAUACAUGCCCAGUUUUUAGCACAGUGCCUUGUACAGAGUAUGAAAUAUUUUUCCUGUAAAGAAAUGAGUGUUGGAUGUUACAGUCUGUGAUAAUAAGGAAAAUCCUGCCCUUCAUUUGUUACUUUCUCUUGCAUAAGAAAUACUUCACUAUUAUUUACCUUAAUUCUUAUCUCAAUUCUAAUAUGCAUGCUGGUUUGUGCCAUUGCUAAGCUCUUUUAAUUGCAAAAGACAAGAAUAUUUGUUUUUAACAGAGUAAUUUGUUAUGAUUCCACAUCCUCCAACAGUGUCAUGGUACAAACAUAAAAUAUAAUAGAGAACAAUGACCAACUUUUAUCUCCUUAUUCUAGUUUUUAUCUCCUUGUGAAUUAAUUUUAGAACUCAAAACUUAGAUAAAAGUAUCUAUGGAGAUUUCUUCCUUUUCAUUUUACUUUACCUAAUUUUAUUGGCUUGAAAGACCUCAUUGUGCUUAAUUAAUAUCAGUGAUCAAAUCUAUUAUGUUCACUUUCACUAUGUAGGUCUUUAAGGGGUACCAACCACUCAAAUAGUCAAAAAGUCCAUGUAUAACUUUUGACUAACCCAAAGAGUUAACUACUAAUAGCCUAUUAUUGACUGGAAGCCUUACCAAUAACAUAAACAGUCAAUUAACACAUAUUUUCUAUGUGAUAUGUAUUAGAUACAGUAUUCUUACAAUAAAAUAAACUAGAGAAAGGAACAUAUUAUUAAGAAAAUCAUAUGAAAGAGAAAAUAUGUUUACUAUUAAGUGGAAGUGGAUCAUUACAAAAGUCUUCAUCUUUGUCAUCAUUUUGAGUUGGCUGAGGAGGAGAGGAAGAGGAAGGAUUGGUUUUGCUGUCCCAGGGGUGGCAGAGGGGGAAGGAAAUCUGCAUAUGAAUGCAUUCAUGCCAUUCAAACCUAUGUUGUUCAAGAGACCACUGUAAAUUAAAAAGGCAUCAGAUUUUUUCCCCUUGUUUC
This 4009-nucleotide long non-coding RNA is filed under the name Homo sapiens (human). RNAcentral describes it as "non-protein coding lnc-GJE1-2:2". The record is from RNAcentral. Lineage: Eukaryota; Metazoa; Chordata; Mammalia; Primates; Hominidae.